CUUAUGCUCCCUCCGUCCUGAAUUACUUGUCUUAGAUUUGUCUAAAUACGGAUGUAUCUAGGCGUCUAGAUACAAAUGCAUACACCUUUUAGUGUUAGAUACAUCCGUAUCUUGACAAAUCUAAGACGAGUAAUUUGAGACAGAGGUAAUAUUUG
Non-coding RNA from Hordeum vulgare subsp. vulgare (domesticated barley), 155 nucleotides. NCBI's taxonomy places the organism in Eukaryota, Viridiplantae, Streptophyta, Magnoliopsida, Poales, Poaceae. The record is from Rfam.